Molecule: non-coding RNA, 232 nt
Organism: Peromyscus maniculatus bairdii (prairie deer mouse)
Lineage: Eukaryota; Metazoa; Chordata; Mammalia; Rodentia; Cricetidae
Source: RefSeq, a predicted model, not a curated record
AGAAUGGCCUGAGAGACAGGGAGGAAGGUGUCCAGUGUGGUAUUCAAUAGGAGCAGCGAAAGACGCCAUGUCUUCAUUGCUGAUUUCAGGAGGAAAGCAGCUUUUCCCCAUUGGAAAAUUAUACCCAAGGUACACCUGGCGGGAUGAGACGGGAAUCCUACUGUGGGCAGUCAUUGAAAAUGACAGCAUCCCUUCUCCUUGACAGAGAAGAUUGGGGAAGUGAAAAGAGGAC